CGCCCAAUAGCUAGCCCAUCAAAACCAACAACAACUGACCACUAUUUAUACCCCCUAACACGCAAGCAUCAAUAUAAAUUAAACCAUUUUUCCCCCUUAGUAUAGGCGAUAGAAAAGGAACUAAAAGAGCAAUAGAGAGAGUACCGCAAGGGAACGCUGAAAGAGAAAUGAAACAACCCAGCAAAGCAUAAAAAAGCAGAGAUUUAAACUCGUACCUUUUGCAUCAUGAUUUAGCCAGCGUACCCCAAGCAAAGAGCCUUUUAGUUUGAUAACCCGAAACUACGUGAGCUACUCCAAGACAGCCUAUUAUAGGGCAAACCCGUCUCUGUGGCAAAAGAGUGGGAAGAGCUUCGAGUAGAGGUGAUAAGCCUACCGAACCUAGUUAUAGCUGGUUGCCCGAGAAUUGAAUAGAAGUUCAGCCCCCCGGAUUCUUUAUUCACCCCUGUUCCACCUUCCCUGAUGUAACAAGAAGCCGAGGGAGUUACUCAAAGGGGGUACAGCCCCUUUGAAACAAGACACAACUUUCCCAGGAGGGUAAAGAUCACAAUACUUAAGGACAAGAUAUUCUGGUAGGCCCAGAAGCAGCCAUCCCCCUAGAAAGCGUUAAAGCUCAAAUAUAUUAUACCCCCCCCCUUAUCCCGAUCAUUCAAUUUUAACCCCCUAACCCUACCGGGCCAUCCCAUGCCCACAUGGGAGCGACCAUGCUAAUAUGAGUAAUAAGAGAGCUUCCCCUCUCUCCUUGCACGUGUGUAAAUCGGAACGGACCCUCCACCGAAUCCUAACGGUCCCAAACAAAGAGGGCACUGAACUACAAACCAGACACCUAGAAAAACACCCAACAACUAACCGUUAAUCCUACACAGGCGUGCCUACAAGGAAAGACUAAAAGAAAGAGAAGGAACUCGGCAAACACACGCCUCGCCUGUUUACCAAAAACAUCGCCUCUUGUACAGAAAAAAAUAAGAGGUCCCGCCUGCCCUGUGACUGUAAGUUUAACGGCCGCGGUAUCUUGACCGUGCGAAGGUAGCGCAAUCACUUGUCCUUUAAAUGAAGACCAGUAUGAAUGGCAUAACGAGGGCUUAGCUGUCUCCUCUUUCAGGUCAAUGAAAUUGAUCUCCCCGUGCAGAAGCGGGGAUACAGACAUAAGACGAGAAGACCCUGUGGAGCUUUAGACGCAAGACAGCUCACGUUAAACACCCCCCAUUAAGGGACCAAACCCAAUGAAACCUGCUCUGAUGUCUUUGGUUGGGGCGACCGCGGGGCAAUAAAAAACCCCCACGUGGAAUGAGAGUUACCCUCCCACAACUAAGAGCUACAGCUCUAACUAACAGAAUUUCUGACCGUAAGAUCCGGCCUUGCGCCGAUCAACGAACCCAGUUACCCCAGGGAUAACAGCGCAAUCCCCUUUCAGAGUCCAUAUCGACAAGGGGGUUUACGACCUCGAUGUUGGAUCAGGACAUCCUAAUGGUGCAGCCGCUAUUAAGGGUUCGUUUGUUCAACGAUUAAAGUCCUACGUGAUCUGAGUUCAGACCGGAGUAAUCCAGGUCAGUUUCUAUCUAUGAUAUGCUCUUUUCUAGUACGAAAGGACCGAAAAGAAGGGGCCCAUACCUUAGGCACGCCUCCCCCCCACCUUCUGAAACCAACUAAAACAGACAAGAGGGCAUGCCCCCCCCGCCUAAGACUAAGGCAU
RNAcentral lists this ribosomal RNA (1690 nucleotides) under Ratabulus megacephalus. RNAcentral describes it as "16S rRNA". The stretch from base 111 to 1577 matches the Rfam family "Bacterial large subunit ribosomal RNA". The record is from RNAcentral. Lineage: Eukaryota; Metazoa; Chordata; Actinopteri; Perciformes; Platycephalidae.